GGGAAAAAGAAAGCAGAGGACAGGCUGUGGGAUGGGAAUACAUUGAGCCACUACCUUGGGAUAUAAACACUCAGGAAUUUGAAGAUUCUAAAUUUGGAUUUGGUUCUCCAGUCAUUAGACAUGGAGACUGAAUAAAACACAGUGCGGGACUGUGAUCCCUGAGAGGGGGGAAUAGGCAGGUGAAACUGCAGCCUCUGCCUGCUCUGUGUGGAAGCAUUUUCUGAGUUGUGGUACAGAAAAGGGGAGCCCGCAUCCAGGACAGAAGUCCCACGGAGGCGUGGGAGCAGGGAUACAAGCAUGAGGAGGCUGAGAUGGCUCAAGUUUGGUGGACAGAGAAGCAAAGAAGAGGGGUCUUCACAAAGGAAAGUUUCCAGAGGUCUGACAGGAAUCCCUUUGAGUCUUAAUAUCCAUCUGCACAAUCUCAAGAUGAAGAAAAUCAAGUUUAAAGUGGUUAAAGAACAACCAAGUGAGCACAGAGUCAAGAUUUAAAGCCAAAUAAACCCAAA
Long non-coding RNA from Lutra lutra (Eurasian river otter), 506 nucleotides. RefSeq lists it as uncharacterized. The transcript is spliced from 3 exons. The record is from RefSeq and is a predicted model, not a curated record. Lineage: Eukaryota; Metazoa; Chordata; Mammalia; Carnivora; Mustelidae.